Molecule: ribosomal RNA, 258 nt
Filed under: uncultured bacterium
Lineage: Bacteria
Description: partial 16S ribosomal RNA
Rfam family: Bacterial small subunit ribosomal RNA
Source: RNAcentral
GUCCACACGGUAAACGAUGAAUACUCGCUGUUUGCGAUAUACGGCAAGCGGCCAAGCGAAAGCGUUAAGUAUUCCACCUGGGGGAGUACGCCGGCAACGGUGAAACUCAAAGGAAUUGACGGGGGCCCGCACAAGCGGAGGAACAUGUGGUUUAAUUCGAUGAUACGCGAGGAACCUUACCAAGGCUUAAAUGUAGUUUGACCGAUUUGGAAACAGAUCUUUCGCAAGACAAAUUACAAGGUGCUGCAUGGUUGUCGU